RNAcentral lists this transfer RNA (69 nucleotides) under Otophryne pyburni. Its description in RNAcentral is "tRNA-Lys". Lineage: Eukaryota; Metazoa; Chordata; Amphibia; Anura; Microhylidae. The record is from RNAcentral.
CACUAAGAAGCUAUGAAUAAGCAACAGCCUUUUAAGCUGUCGACAGGUAACUAACACUACCCUUAGUGA